This 420-nucleotide ribosomal RNA is filed under the name uncultured Nitrososphaerota archaeon. RNAcentral's name for it is "bacterial SSU rRNA". It matches the Rfam family "Archaeal small subunit ribosomal RNA", at positions 459 to 879 of the family's 1478-position model. The record is from RNAcentral. Lineage: Archaea; Thermoproteati; Nitrososphaerota.
CAGCCGCCGCGGUAAAACCAGCACCUCAAGUGGCCAGGAUGAUUAUUGGGCCUAAAGCAUCCGUAGCCGGCUCUGUAAGUUUUCGGUUAAAUCUGUACGCUCAACGUACAGGCUGCCGGGAAUACUGCAGAGCUAGGGAGUGGGAGAGGUAGACGGUACUCGAUAGGAAGGGGUAAAAUCCUUUGAUCUAUUGAUGACCACCUGUGGCGAAGGCGGUCUACCAGAACACGUCCGACGGUGAGGGAUGAAAGCUGGGGGAGCAAACCGGAUUAGAUACCCGGGUAGUCCCAGCUGUAAACUAUGCAAACUCAGUGAUGCAUUGGCUUGUGGCCAAUGCAGUGCUGCAGGGAAGCCGUUAAGUUUGCCGCCUGGGAAGUACGUACGCAAGUAUGAAACUUAAAGGAAUUGGCGGGGGAGCAC